UUAGGUAUAAAUUGAUUAAGUUAUUUACCAGAGUACUACGAAUAAAACCAUUUAAAACUCAAAGAGCUUGGCGGUGCUUUAGACUUCUCAGGGGAACCUGUCUCGUAAUCGACAGUCCACGAAUCCACCUCACUUCCUCUUGCGGUCAGUAUGUAUACCGUCGUCGUCAGGUAACUUUUGAAAAUAUAGAAGUUAGCAAGAAAACUUUUAAGUUUUUACGUCAGAUCAAGGUGCAGCUUAUGGGGGAGAGCGGAUGGGUUACAAUUAACAUUCAUAAUUACGGAUAUUGAUUUUAAAUAGUUUAUAUGAAGGCGGACUUGAAAGUAUGAAUUAGUAUAUAAAUUUUUUGAAUUUAGCUCUGAAGCG
RNAcentral lists this ribosomal RNA (366 nucleotides) under Echinolittorina sp. 'trochoides D'. RNAcentral's name for it is "Echinolittorina trochoides D partial 12S ribosomal RNA". The record is from RNAcentral. Lineage: Eukaryota; Metazoa; Mollusca; Gastropoda; Littorinimorpha; Littorinidae.